GGAAAACAAGAUCCUGGCGGUUACAUCACAGCUCCAGGACAUCUCAGGAGCAGGCAUCAGUCAGGCAGGAGUAAUGAAAAGAGAACAACAUGGAUUUCAUCAAUGCUGCUCAGCUGUCAGUGUGCCAGGGUUUCACUUUCAUUAUGUUUGUUGUUGGUGUGGGACAUCUGAGAACAGAUUCACAGCUAAGAGAAAUGAUGAAACCGAGGACACCAAUGUGGGAGGACAGUGAUCUAUGGAGCACCACAGCAGCUCAGUGGUGGCUGACAGAGUUGACAAGUGGAGGUGAAGAUGGGCCUGUCAGAGGGGAGCGAAGGGCAGAUAAGAGCUGGCAAAGACAAAAUGUUUCUCUUUGGCUGCUGUCCUCAUAUCUGACCCUUUCUUUCAAUUAGUAAUAGUCAAAUAACAAUGACCUUUGAACACAUGCAUUGACACAUGCACACGCACGCACGCACGCACGCACACACACACACACACACACACAGAAGAAUUGUGGCCAUAUGAUUAAUUCCAAUUGAACAUAUCAAGAGAUGAAGUAAGUAGAAUAAGACAGACAUGAAAACUUCCACGAGAAUUGAGGAUAAAGCAGCACUGUUCAUUCAAAUUCUUCAAUUAAAGAAACCAAGCAGCAGAAGUGAGAGUAAGUCUGUCAAAAGCGAGUCAGGAACAACAGAUGCAAAUUAGCUGCAAGCCAACUCUGGUACAACUUCUUUUAAUACAUAAAAAAUUCUUAACCUUCAAGUCGCAAACAAUUCUCAAGUUACUGUUGUAACAAACAGCACAAGUCAAGUUGAACUUAAGAGAACCUUCCCUUAAGUUUCUACCUUUCAGGAAUUGAUUGAGAAACGUUUCUCGAACUUUACAUGGAUUGCUGGGAUGUUUUAUCCCUCGAAAAUGCAAAUAUUUGUCCUUUAGAGUCACCUGUCUCAAGCCUCAAGUGAAUACAAUCCUCAAACUUGCGAUCACUCGGGUCCCCCAUCUCUGCUAACUGGUUAAAAGUUUCAUUCAACAAAACAAAAUGUUCUAUAAAGGAUCAAAACUAAUGGAGCUAUUAAAAAAAAUAUCUAAAUUAAAUUAAAACAGGAUUUGGUGCAGGGUAUUGUUUUCACUCAUAAAGGAUGACAAAUGGGUAGAGAAAGUUAAACAGUGGAUAAAAGAGGGAAAUCCUGAGAGUGGAGCUUGUGGCAGGAAGUCAGAGGAAUUACUCCAGUAAUCAGACAGCUGUUGAUAAAACUGCUGCAGCCCGUAAUUGUAAUAAAGCGGCAGGCUGAGGACUUUUUGACUUUUUGAGAAAUGCCUUGAAAACAACUCAUCACAGCUGAGUGCCGCUACUGAUGACGAUGAGAUGAAACUUUUAUGAUCCCUGUGGAAAAUAAGGGACUCAUUUAAAAUGCCCUCAGCCCUGUGAGUAGUGCAGAAUAAUUGAAAAGCCUAGAGUGACAUUAUUGAUUUUUUUAAUUUUUAGUCACCACACAAGCUGUAAACAGACCCAAAAAGUAGGAUCCUCGAAAACUGCUUGUGUCUUACUCAACCAUAAGGUUUUUUAAAAAAAGUAAAAAAUCUUAUUUCGGCUUCUUUU
RNAcentral lists this long non-coding RNA (1579 nucleotides) under Sparus aurata (gilthead seabream). RNAcentral describes it as "lncRNA (ENSSAUG00010005962.1)". The record is from RNAcentral. Lineage: Eukaryota; Metazoa; Chordata; Actinopteri; Spariformes; Sparidae.